RNAcentral lists this ribosomal RNA (460 nucleotides) under uncultured bacterium. RNAcentral's name for it is "partial 16S ribosomal RNA". It matches the Rfam family "Bacterial small subunit ribosomal RNA", at positions 338 to 795 of the family's 1533-position model. The record is from RNAcentral.
CCUACGUGAGUCAGCAGUGAGGAAUAUUGGUCAAUGGCCGUAAGGCUGAACCAGCCAAGUCGCGUGAAGGAAGAAGGAUCUAUGGUUUGUAAACUUCUUUUAUAGGGAAAUAAAGAUAUCCACGUGUGGAUAUUUGCAUGUACCCUAUGAAUAAGCAUCGGCUAGCUCCGUUACAGCAGCCGCGGUAAUACGCAGGAUGCGAGCGUUAUCCGGAGUUAUUGGGUUUAAAGGACGCGUAGGUUGUUUUUUAAGUCAGCGGUGAAAGUUUGUGGCUCAACCAUAAAAGUGCAGUUGAAACUGGAAGACUUGAGUGCGGUUGAGGUAGGCGGAAGUCGUGGUGUAGCGGUGAAAUGCAUAGAUAUCACGCAGAACUCCGAUUGCGAAGGCAGCUUACUAGGCCAUAACUGACACUGAGGCACGAAAGCGUGGGGAUCAAACAGGAUUAGAUACCCUUGUAGUC